Long non-coding RNA from Colossoma macropomum (tambaqui), 652 nucleotides. RefSeq lists it as uncharacterized. NCBI's taxonomy places the organism in Eukaryota, Metazoa, Chordata, Actinopteri, Characiformes, Serrasalmidae. The transcript has 3 exons. The record is from RefSeq and is a predicted model, not a curated record.
GGGAGAAACAUUUUCCAUUGAUCCGAUAUCACUGAUGUUUCUCCUGAGCUUUGCUGUACUGCUGUUUAUGCAGUUUUUUGCGAUGCUUUACCACAGAAUCUACACAUUAAUCCAUUUUGUGGCCUAUGUUGACACAGAAACUAAGGCUAUAAGAAAACGGUCAUAUGAGGAGAGUCAUGAAUGUGACCAAAACGUAUUAUUUCAGGCUUCUAAAGGUUUGAAAACGGACCCCCAAUAUGGGAUGAAUCUUGACACAUCUUUAUGCAUACAGAACCCAUCUGCUGUUGAAGAUCCGGCAAGGGUAGUAUGAACUGAUGCUUACCUCAAAUAAUGUGUGAUAACGGACAUUAUAUUGGACAGUUUUUUCCAAGAAGUCUCUCAAAGGCAUAAGAAAUUUCCAAGUACUGUUCAAAUUUUGAGUGAUAUAUCAAUGAAAUAAGACAUGUUCAAAACUACUGCAUUUAUUUUUCAUUCAUGUACAUACUGCUUUACUAAUUGUACUCAGUAUUGUCCUUCCUUUUAUCUGUUAAAAUGUGCUAUUGUUUACAUAAAACUACUGAAAGAGACAAUUAUUUAAAAUAAAAGUAACAAGCAAACAAAAUGCAACGUCUUUUUACCUCAAACACAAACGGCACAUCCUAUCUAGUAGACC